Molecule: ribosomal RNA, 465 nt
Filed under: uncultured Klebsiella sp.
Lineage: Bacteria; Pseudomonadati; Pseudomonadota; Gammaproteobacteria; Enterobacterales; Enterobacteriaceae
Description: bacterial SSU rRNA
Rfam family: Bacterial small subunit ribosomal RNA
Source: RNAcentral
ACUACGGGAGGCUGCAGUGGGGAAUAUUGCACAAUGGGCGCAAGCCUGAUGCAGCCAUGCCGCGUGUGUGAAGAAGGCCUUCGGGUUGUAAAGCACUUUCAGCGGGGAGGAAGGCGUUAAGGUUAAUAACCUUGGCGAUUGACGUUACCCGCAGAAGAAGCACCGGCUAACUCCGUGCCAGCAGCCGCGGUAAUACGGAGGGUGCAAGCGUUAAUCGGAAUUACUGGGCGUAAAGCGCACGCAGGCGGUCUGUCAAGUCGGAUGUGAAAUCCCCGGGCUCAACCUGGGAACUGCAUUCGAAACUGGCAGGCUAGAGUCUUGUAGAGGGGGGUAGAAUUCCAGGUGUAGCGGUGAAAUGCGUAGAGAUCUGGAGGAAUACCGGUGGCGAAGGCGGCCCCCUGGACAAAGACUGACGCUCAGGUGUGAAAGCGUGGGGAGCAAACAGGAUUAGAUACCCGUGUAGUC